RNAcentral lists this ribosomal RNA (492 nucleotides) under uncultured bacterium. RNAcentral's name for it is "partial 16S ribosomal RNA". It matches the Rfam family "Bacterial small subunit ribosomal RNA", at positions 29 to 507 of the family's 1533-position model. The record is from RNAcentral.
AGUGAACGCUGGCGGUGGGCCUAACACAUGCAAGUCGAACGGCAGCACAGUAAGAGCUUGCUCUUACGGGCGGCGAGUGGCGGACGGGUGAGGAAUACAUCGGAAUCUACUUUUUCGUGGGGGAUAACGUAGGGAAACUCACGCUAAUACCGCAUACGACCUACGGGUGAAAGCAGGCGUUCUUCGGACCUUGCGCGACUGAAUGAGCCGAUGUCGGAUUAGCUAGUUGGCGGGGUAAAGGCCCACCAAGCCGACCAUCCGUAGCUGGUCUGAGAGGAUGAUCAGCCACACUGGAACUGAGACACGGUCCAGACUCCUACGGGAGGCAGCAGUGGGGAAUAUUGGACAAUGGGCGCAAGCCUGAUCCAGCCAUACCGCGUGGGUGAAGAAGGCCUUCGGGUUGUAAAGCCCUUUUGUUGGGAAAGAAAAGCAGCAGGUUAAUACCCCGCUGUUCUGACGGUACCCAAAGAAUAAGCACCGGCUAACUUCGUG